RNAcentral lists this transfer RNA (74 nucleotides) under Sphaerodactylus townsendi. RNAcentral describes it as "tRNA-Thr". It matches the Rfam family "tRNA". Rfam says of the family: Transfer RNA (tRNA) molecules are approximately 80 nucleotides in length. Their secondary structure includes four short double-helical elements and three loops (D, anti-codon, and T loops). Lineage: Eukaryota; Metazoa; Chordata; Lepidosauria; Squamata; Sphaerodactylidae. The record is from RNAcentral.
AGAGGUUAUGGUUCAGUGGUAGAUUAUCUGCUUCGUAUGCAGAAGGUCCUCAGGUUCAAUCCCUGGCACCUCCA